AACGAACGCUGGCGGCAGGCUUAACACAUGCAAGUCGAACGCCCCGCCAGGGGAGUGGCCGACGGGUGAGUAACGCGUGGGAAUCUACCCAUCCCUACGGAAUAACGCAUGGAAACGUGUGCUAAUACCGUAUACGCCCUACGGGGGAAAGAUUUAUCGGGGAUGGAUGAGCCCGCGUUGGAUUAGCUAGUUGGUGGGGUAAAGGCCUACCAAGGCGGCGAUCCAUAGCUGGUCUGAGAGGAUGAUCAGCCACAUUGGGACUGAGACACGGCCCAAACUCCUACGGGAGGCAGCAGUGGGGAAUAUUGGACAAUGGGCGCAAGCCUGAUCCAGCCAUGCCGCGUGAGUGAUGAAGGCCUUAGGGUUGUAAAGCUCUUUCACCGGAGAAGAUAAUGACGGUAUCCGGAGAAGAAGCCCCGGCUAACUUCGUG
RNAcentral lists this ribosomal RNA (431 nucleotides) under uncultured bacterium. RNAcentral describes it as "partial 16S ribosomal RNA". It matches the Rfam family "Bacterial small subunit ribosomal RNA", at positions 29 to 507 of the family's 1533-position model. The record is from RNAcentral.